AUGCCAUGUGUAAGAUUGCCCCCUAGGUUUCAGGUACAUGUUCGGAGAGGCACUUCCAUAUUGACGGAUUCAUGGAUUUGGGAACAUCACAAUGUGGUUGUCUUUGAAUGGGCGUGAUCAAGCAUAGCUAGCCUUCUCGACAUGGUUCUGGUGGAGGCUAGGCUAUGGGCAUUGGCAGGAGCUGCUGGGCUCGCGAAUCUCCUACCACCGGUUGUCGGCGCUUCUUGGAAUCCCCUUAGUAGACUUGUACAUAACCUUAUUGUUUAUCAAUUCAAUGAGACAUGA
RNAcentral lists this ribosomal RNA (285 nucleotides) under Triticum aestivum (bread wheat). RNAcentral describes it as "partial small subunit ribosomal RNA". The record is from RNAcentral. Lineage: Eukaryota; Viridiplantae; Streptophyta; Magnoliopsida; Poales; Poaceae.